CUGCAGAGAGAGGGAACAGCCAUGAGUCUACUGUGAUAAUGGAUAGGAGGACAGACAGGAACAGAAAUCAAAGAUGUGGAAACUACAACAGCGUCUUGGAGCAUGAGUAUGAUGUGGUGGAUGACCAAGAGGAAGUGUUGAGCGUGCGCAUACUUCCUGCAAGGCCCAUAAAUGAUGAGCGAGAGUAUGCAGACAGGGAUCUUCCAAGGUCAUCAUCAGCUCAGAGCCCUUCAUCACUCUCCACUGGGAACUCCAGAAUCCUCCCUAGAGUCAUCCCAAUCAAUACAGGGCCUGCUAUAAAUAGAGACCUGAAACCAGGCAGAAAAAAGACAAGAUUAGGUAAGACCAUUUAA
This is a long non-coding RNA of Dicentrarchus labrax (European seabass), 353 nucleotides long. Lineage: Eukaryota; Metazoa; Chordata; Actinopteri; Moronidae. The record is from Ensembl.